This 1993-nucleotide ribosomal RNA is filed under the name Escherichia coli. RNAcentral's name for it is "partial 23S ribosomal RNA". It matches the Rfam family "Bacterial large subunit ribosomal RNA", at positions 723 to 2698 of the family's 2925-position model. The record is from RNAcentral. Lineage: Bacteria; Pseudomonadati; Pseudomonadota; Gammaproteobacteria; Enterobacterales; Enterobacteriaceae.
CGGUGAUCUAGCCAUGGGCAGGUUGAAGGUUGGGUAACACUAACUGGAGGACCGAACCGACUAAUGUUGAAAAAUUAGCGGAUGACUUGUGGCUGGGGGUGAAAGGCCAAUCAAACCGGGAGAUAGCUGGUUCUCCCCGAAAGCUAUUUAGGUAGCGCCUCGUGAAUUCAUCUCCGGGGGUAGAGCACUGUUUCGGCAAGGGGGUCAUCCCGACUUACCAACCCGAUGCAAACUGCGAAUACCGGAGAAUGUUAUCACGGGAGACACACGGCGGGUGCUAACGUCCGUCGUGAAGAGGGAAACAACCCAGACCGCCAGCUAAGGUCCCAAAGUCAUGGUUAAGUGGGAAACGAUGUGGGAAGGCCCAGACAGCCAGGAUGUUGGCUUAGAAGCAGCCAUCAUUUAAAGAAAGCGUAAUAGCUCACUGGUCGAGUCGGCCUGCGCGGAAGAUGUAACGGGGCUAAACCAUGCACCGAAGCUGCGGCAGCGACGCUGAUGCGUUGUUGGGUAGGGGAGCGUUCUGUAAGCCUGUGAAGGUGUGCUGUGAGGCAUGCUGGAGGUAUCAGAAGUGCGAAUGCUGACAUAAGUAACGAUAAAGCGGGUGAAAAGCCCGCUCGCCGGAAGACCAAGGGUUCCUGUCCAACGUUAAUCGGGGCAGGGUGAGUCGACCCCUAAGGCGAGGCCGAAAGGCGUAGUCGAUGGGAAACAGGUUAAUAUUCCUGUACUUGGUGUUACUGCGAAGGGGGGACGGAGAAGGCUAUGUUGGCCGGGCGACGGUUGUCCCGGUUUAAGCGUGUAGGCUGGUUUUCCAGGCAAAUCCGGAAAACUAAGGCUGAGGCGUGAUGACGAGGCACUACGGUGCUGAAGCAACAAAUGCCCUGCUUCCAGGAAAAGCCUCUAAGCAUCAGGUAACAUCAAAUCGUACCCCAAACCGACACAGGUGGUCAGGUAGAGAAUACCAAGGCGCUUGAGAGAACUCGGGUGAAGGAACUAGGCAAAAUGGUGCCGUAACUUCGGGAGAAGGCACGCUGAUAUGUAGGUGAAGUCCCUCGCGGAUGGAGCUGAAAUCAGUCGAAGAUACCAGCUGGCUGCAACUGUUUAUUAAAAACACAGCACUGUGCAAACACGAAAGUGGACGUAUACGGUGUGACGCCUGCCCGGUGCCGGAAGGUUAAUUGAUGGGGUCAGCGCAAGCGAAGCUCUUGAUCGAAGCCCCGGUAAACGGCGGCCGUAACUAUAACGGUCCUAAGGUAGCGAAAUUCCUUGUCGGGUAAGUUCCGACCUGCACGAAUGGCGUAAUGAUGGCCAGGCUGUCUCCACCCGAGACUCAGUGAAAUUGAACUCGCUGUGAAGAUGCAGUGUACCCGCGGCAAGACGGAAAGACCCCGUGAACCUUUACUAUAGCUUGACACUGAACAUUGAGCCUUGAUGUGUAGGAUAGGUGGGAGGCUUUGAAGUGUGGACGCCAGUCUGCAUGGAGCCGACCUUGAAAUACCACCCUUUAAUGUUUGAUGUUCUAACGUUGACCCGUAAUCCGGGUUGCGGACAGUGUCUGGUGGGUAGUUUGACUGGGGCGGUCUCCUCCUAAAGAGUAACGGAGGAGCACGAAGGUUGGCUAAUCCUGGUCGGACAUCAGGAGGUUAGUGCAAUGGCAUAAGCCAGCUUGACUGCGAGCGUGACGGCGCGAGCAGGUGCGAAAGCAGGUCAUAGUGAUCCGGUGGUUCUGAAUGGAAGGGCCAUCGCUCAACGGAUAAAAGGUACUCCGGGGAUAACAGGCUGAUACCGCCCAAGAGUUCAUAUCGACGGCGGUGUUUGGCACCUCGAUGUCGGCUCAUCACAUCCUGGGGCUGAAGUAGGUCCCAAGGGUAUGGCUGUUCGCCAUUUAAAGUGGUACGCGAGCUGGGUUUAGAACGUCGUGAGACAGUUCGGUCCCUAUCUGCCGUGGGCGCUGGAGAACUGAGGGGGGCUGCUCCUAGUACGAGAGGACCGGAGU